Non-coding RNA from Lonchura striata (white-rumped munia), 3962 nucleotides. The record is from RefSeq and is a predicted model, not a curated record. NCBI's taxonomy places the organism in Eukaryota, Metazoa, Chordata, Aves, Passeriformes, Estrildidae.
UUUUUUUCCCAGAAAAUCGUGAUUAACGGCAGGGGAUGGGGAGGGGCAGAGGGGGGAAUCCCACCGGGUGCUGGAAAGACACGGGUCUCUGCAGAGGCUUUCCCGCGGGAAGGCUCCGCAGGGGUGUCUUGGCACACCAGCUCACACUCACUCACGCACACUCACAACUCACACGCGUUCCAGGCUGAGAGCUGGAUCCUGCAAACCCGCCUCCCAUCCUGCGGGAAGCUCCCAGCGCUGGGGCGGCCGGUCCAGGCGAGCCGACCUUACUCGGGCAAGUAGGGACGGCCAGGGCCGGAGGCGGCUCAGCCAGAACCGAGGCUCGCAGCGCUCUGCAGGGCGGCCGGGCCGGGCUCCGGGAGCGGGGCUGGGGCUCAUCCCCAGCUGCCCCCGCCUGCCGGGCUCCGCUGCCGCGGGAGAAGCUCUCCAACGUGUCCUCCUGGCAUCGCUGGGAAUGAUGGUUCCUUUAAGCUCUUACAAAUUGCAGAAGUUGAGGAAGACAGAGAAAUAAUUAAUGUAUUAAAACAAGCAGCGAAUUCCUCAGGAGGCACCUUAUCAACUCCAGCCACACUGGCUUCAUCCCUCCUCGUAUGCUAAUACCCCGUGACGUCAUUGGCGCCAGAUUGAAUGUGAAUCAGUUAUGAAAUUAUUAGUUUUAGCUUAAAAAGCAAUCUGGCUCUCCCGUGAGUGGGCUUUGCGUUGCUGCGGGUUCUCGCUCCGUGUCCUCCCCAUGUUAUGCACACACAGUAGCUGCGACUUUCCUGUCGCAAUGAAUCAAUAUUUCCAAAGCACACAUCCUAACAGGGGGUGAUGUAAAGAAACCCAUAGAUUAAUUGGGUCCCGUUUCUGAGUCGGCUGUGUCUUCCUUUAUCGAUACACACUUUACACCCGAAACCAGACAGUCGGAUUUCCUCCUACUUUUCAGGGUCUGUGUGAUCUCCUCCCACGAGAGGCGACUCAGCAGCUCGGUCCCCUCUGCCAUCCCAGCACUGCCAGGGGAGAAGCCCAGGAGGAGCAGAGCAGUGGCUGAGCAGCAGCUUGAAUAUCCAUAUUUAACUCUUCAAACAACAGAAGAUACUUCAGAACCAUGUUAAGAAGGAUAAGCUUGGAGUGCCCAGUCACCGUGGUAACUGCCAGAAAAAUUCUCCUGAAGUUUGAAGAGGUCAGCUAACGGGGUCAACAACUCUGGCCUCUCUCUGAGCUGGGCCUGGCAGGCUCCAUCCUGCGGUUGGGGUGUUAACGCAGGCUGAGCCCUGGGAGGUGGACCAUUCCAGCUCUGAUAUAAAUUUUUUGAGUCAGUUCACGGCCUGGACUCUCCAGGUGGCCUCCAAAAUCGAUUGUGACCUUGUGACCCUGUCUAACGGAGGCAUAGCAUCCAACCUAAGUAAGGAUUUAGCCAGGAACGACAGCUUUCCACUGAGUGUUAUUGGGGACAGUACAAACAGUUUGGGAAGCAAGGAGGUAGGUAUGAGGAGUAGAGGUCAUUAAAAGCAUAUUAAAAAACAAUUUUAAAAAUCCUUUUCAGUUGAAAGUUUUUAUUUGCAGUAACCAUUCCUUAAAUAAACCCUUCUGGCAACUAUUUUUUCCUUUUAUAAUAACAUUUCGUCAAGUGCUUCAGUGCAUUAAUAUACGAAAAAUUGGCACUUUGCGUAUUCCAAACCAAAUUAAUAUUUUAUCUACCUCUGGAUUUUGAACUUGUAAACGAAGCUGGCUGACAUGUGUUAAGCUAGAUGUCUGUGAAGUGUUUUUCUCCUUAAUAUCAUAAAGCUAGGAAACUGGUUAUUAAAGUAGGCUAUUUAUUUUAGGUAGUAAUUUCCCUAAUAUGUGCAUUCUUUUUAGGUUCAAAAGUCUCUUAAUCCUUGUAAUCUUAUUUUUAAACUGGGAAAUUAGGCAACAUUAAGAAUAGUGUGAAAUUAAAGUGUGAGAGUUUCACAGAGUUUUCAUUUACUGGUUUGCAGUACAGAUAGAAAAGCUACAAAACUUAUUACACAUUUUUAUAGAAAACAAAUUGAUCUUGCUAAGAUCAUAUUCAUAGAGAACAUGAUAUUUUUUCCCUUAAGAUUUUAGGCAACAAAUCAUAUAGGGGAGGGAGGGGCUGUUGCAGAGUUCUGAUUUUGUUAUUGAAUCUAGAAACUUGCCCUUCUGAACAAGUGGAUUUGCUCUUGUGUUUUAUUCCCACAGCUACAAAACCUCGUGCAUUGCUCACAUGAGUAAUUGGUAGUUGUUGGAUGAGUAAGUGGAACUACACUGAGGAGCAAAGUCCAGUUCCUGAGGUGGAAAGUACUAUCAGACUUUAAGUGACUUUAAAACUGCUCAGAAGGAAGAAAAUAGCUUUAAUAUUUGUUCCCAGUCUUAGAAAACUUGUACAGUGAGAACCUUGCCCAGACACUUCUCGUGCUUGGCAGGGCAUGUCUCUGACAUUUUUCUUCCCAGCCCCUUCCCAGUUGAGCAGUUCCCCCAAGGCUGGAGGAGCUGCACAGAGAUGGGGCCAUAAAAUACAGUUCAGGAAGAGCAUCUGAGCUCUGCUGAACAUCAUUGUACUGCUGAGAGGUCCCACAGGUUGCAACAGCAAGAAUGUCUAACUUUUACUUGCAGUAGCACCUUACUCUGCAGAAAGCACCCAAAAACCCAUGGUCUUUUGGCCAAGGUCCUGCCUCUUAUAGGAUCAUCAUAAUCUGUUCUGGUGAGAGCAGGUUUGAAGACCAGGACUAAGAAAUGUGGCUGAAUUUUGCCAUGAAAUUAUUUAAGGCCUGCACCUGGACAUUCAGGUAUCCAUGGUGACACUAUUUAACUCUACCCUGAAUACUAAUAAUAGUUGGGUUUUGGUGGUCAUUUUUAACAGACCUCUGCUGAAAAGAAUUUAUUCUCGUUAGGAAGCAUGUUGAUUCAGGACUUCUGUGAUUGAGUUUGGUAAGAUGAAACUUACAGCCCUUGGUGAGAAUCAGAAUAUUUCCUUGUUUUUCAGAAAACAAAAAUUAAAAAUAGGACUGUAAAUAGUUGGAUGGUGAAUCUUUAAUAUUUUCAAAAGCAUCUGUGUCAUUUUUAGCAUUUAAAAAAAUAUAUACUUACGUCUGCUUUGUAUUGCCAUCACUCAAGGACCAAGUUCUACUGAUAAACAGGGGAUCAUUUCAGAAAACAGAUAGAACUAUUCCACUGGAGCUUUUGGACCAGAAUUGCCCCAAAUUUUCCCUAAAGCCUCCAGCUUGGAAUGAGGAAUAGGUGGCAGAGGCAACCAGAAGGAGAUCUCAAGAACUUUAACUUGCUGAAAAUUCUUUAGCAUUGACUUCUAUAGAUCCUAUUGAAUUUAUAAUCAACUGCAAAUCUACAAAUGUCACUCGGAACAGGUCCUGGUCUUGCAUGUUUUGUACCUCUUCACAUUGUUCAGUUCAUCCACACCCAAGCAUUUGGAGGUGCUAUGUUAGCAGCAGCUGCAGUGGACAAUUCUUCUUCCCCAUCAUGCUUACACAGCUUCAUUUGACUUUUUGGAAAACUCCCUGGAGUGCAGUGUCUUUGAGUUUCACCAAAGUGAAUGGGCUUUGUGCUGCCUUAGAGACAAACCAGCAGAAUCACCAAAGCCUCUUGUGGUUCCCAGCCCCUGUCCUAUGGACCACUGAUAACCCCUGUGGCCUUUGAAAGUUCACUGUGGCUGAUCUGUGGAAUUGUAUUAAAUAAUAAUGCCCAUAGUCUUCAAUUUAAAUUUUUAUUAGUAGAGUAUGUGGCAGUUUUCAAGAAAAUCUGAGGUCUGAGGGUAAUCUGCUACCUGAAAGCUCAGGGAAUUCUUGCUGUACAGGAAUAUGUCCUAGGUCAUGGGCCAUAAGGUGUUGGGAGGUAUUUUGUUAAUGUUUUCAAAUUAAACAUAUGCUCAGUUAAAUAAAUGGUUUUUAUUACUCAUGCAAACAAACAAAACAACAAAAAAACCCACUUCAAUAUAAAACAAAGAAAAUAAAAAUGACAAAUGGGCA